RNAcentral lists this ribosomal RNA (460 nucleotides) under uncultured bacterium. RNAcentral describes it as "partial 16S ribosomal RNA". It matches the Rfam family "Bacterial small subunit ribosomal RNA", at positions 338 to 795 of the family's 1533-position model. The record is from RNAcentral.
CCUACGGGUGGCUGCAGUGAGGAAUAUUGGUCAAUGGGCGGACGCCUGAACCAGCCAAGUAGCGUGCAGGAUGACGGCCCUACGGGUUGUAAACUGCUUUUAUACGGGAAUAACGCGCCUUACGUGUAGGGCUUUGCAUGUACCGUAUGAAUAAGGACCGGCCAAUUCCGUGCCAGCAGCCGCGGUAAUACGGAAGGUCCGGGCGUUAUCCGGAUUUUUUGGGGUUAAAGGGCGCGUAGGCCGCAUGCCCAGCGUGCUGUGAAAUGUCCGGGCUCAACCCGGGCCUUGCAGCGCGAACUGGGGUGCUUGAGUCCGCGGAAAGCAGGCGGAAUGCGUCGUGUAGCGGUGAAAUGCUUAGAUAUGACGAAGAACCCCGAUUGCGAAGGCAGCUUGCUGCAGCGGAACUGACGCUGAUGCUCGAAAGCGCGGGUAUCGAACAGGAUUAGAUACCCGGGUAGUC